AUCAUUACACAAUAACCAGGCGGGCUGGACACCCCCCGCUGGGCACUGCUUCACGGCGUGCGCGGCGGGGCCGGCCCUGCUGAAUUAUUCACCCGUGUCUUUUGCGUACUUCUUGUUUCCUGGGUGGGCUCGCCCGCCCUCAGGACCAACCACAAACCUUUUGCAAUAGCAAUCAGCGUCAGUAACAACGUAAUUAAUUACAACUUUCAACAACGGAUCUCUUGGUUCUGGCAUCGAUGAAGAACGCAGCGAAAUGCGAUACGUAGUGUGAAUUGCAGAAUUCAGUGAAUCAUCGAAUCUUUGAACGCACAUUGCGCCCUUUGGUAUUCCAAAGGGCAUGCCUGUUCGAGCGUCAUUUGUACCCUCAAGCUUUGCUUGGUGUUGGGCGUCUUUUGUCUCCAGUUCGCUGGAGACUCGCCUUGAAGUCAUUGGCAGCCGGCCUACUGGUUUCGGAGCGCAGCACAAGUCGCGCUCUUCGCCAGCCAAGGUCAGCGUCCAGCAAGCCUUUUUUUCAACCUUUGA
RNAcentral lists this ribosomal RNA (522 nucleotides) under Lewia cf. infectoria BA1760. RNAcentral describes it as "eukaryotic LSU rRNA". The stretch from base 202 to 355 matches the Rfam family "5.8S ribosomal RNA". Lineage: Eukaryota; Fungi; Ascomycota; Dothideomycetes; Pleosporales; Pleosporaceae. The record is from RNAcentral.